CCUACGGGUGGCAGCAGUGAGGGAUAUUGGUCAAUGGCCGGAACGCUGAACCAGCCAUGCCGCGUGAAGGUCAGUGCCCUAUGGGCGUUAAACUUCUUUUGUGCGGGAGCAAUAAUGGUCACGUGUGGCCAGACGAGAGUGCCGUACGAAUAAGCAUCGGCUAACUCCGUGCCAGCAGCCGCGGUGAUACGGGGGAUGCAAGCGUUAUUCGGGUAUAUUGGGUUUAAAGGGUGCGUAGUGUGUGAGGUAAGUCAGCGGUGAAAUGCCCCCGCUCAACGGGGUGAAGUUCCAUUGAUACUGCAGUGCUGGAAUGCGGAUGAGGUAGGAGGAAUGUGUGGUGUAGCGGUGAAAUGCAUAGAUAUCACACAGAACACCGAUUGCGAAGGCAUCUCACGAAUCCGCGAUUGACGCUGAUGCACGAAAGCGUGGGUAUCAAACAGGAUUAGAUACCCUAGUAGUC
RNAcentral lists this ribosomal RNA (460 nucleotides) under uncultured bacterium. RNAcentral describes it as "partial 16S ribosomal RNA". It matches the Rfam family "Bacterial small subunit ribosomal RNA", at positions 338 to 795 of the family's 1533-position model. The record is from RNAcentral.